This 366-nucleotide ribosomal RNA is filed under the name Triticum aestivum (bread wheat). RNAcentral's name for it is "partial small subunit ribosomal RNA". Lineage: Eukaryota; Viridiplantae; Streptophyta; Magnoliopsida; Poales; Poaceae. The record is from RNAcentral.
UUUGAGGUGGACGAGGAGGGUGAGGGCAUUGUCGACGCACCGAAAGGAAGAGCGGGCAAUUACAACACCAACGAUGACAAGUUACUAUGCAAUAUUCCAGUCAAAAAAAAGUUACUAUGCAAUACUUAUUUGCAAGUAUCGAGGGAUCCAUCCAUUGGAGGUGAUCAACGUAGAGAUGCGUAUUGGGGGCGAAUGAAAGAAUACUUUGAUGAUCACAACAUGAGUGGAAUUGACCGCUCGGAGAGAUCACUUCGGUCCCGAUGGUCCACAAUCAACUCCGAUUGUCAAAAGUGGGCUGCCGCACAAAAGUCAGUUGACAAGAUUAAUCCAAGUGGCACAAAUGAGGAUGAUAGAGUAAGUGGCAUC